GACGAACGCUGGCGGCGUGCCUAAUACAUGCAAGUUGAGCGCUGAAGGUUGGUACUUGUACCAACUGGAUGAGCAGCGAACGGGUGAGUAACGCGUGGGGAAUCUGCCUUUGAGCGGGGGACAACAUUUGGAAACGAAUGCUAAUACCGCAUAAAAACUUUAAACACAAGUUUUAAGUUUGAAAGAUGCAAUUGCAUCACUCAAAGAUGAUCCCGCGUUGUAUUAGCUAGUUGGUGAGGUAAAGGCUCACCAAGGCGAUGAUACAUAGCCGACCUGAGAGGGUGAUCGGCCACAUUGGGACUGAGACACGGCCCAAACUCCUACGGGAGGCAGCAGUAGGGAAUCUUCGGCAAUGGACGAAAGUCUGACCGAGCAACGCCGCGUGAGUGAAGAAGGUUUUCGGAUCGUAAAACUCUGUUGGUAGAGAAGAACGUUGGUGAGAGUAGAAAGCUCAUCAAGUGACGGUAACUACCCAGAAAGGGACGGCUAACUACGUG
This 497-nucleotide ribosomal RNA is filed under the name uncultured bacterium. Its description in RNAcentral is "partial 16S ribosomal RNA". It matches the Rfam family "Bacterial small subunit ribosomal RNA", at positions 28 to 507 of the family's 1533-position model. The record is from RNAcentral.